Small nucleolar RNA from Dioscorea cayenensis subsp. rotundata (Guinea yam), 94 nucleotides. RefSeq annotates it as small nucleolar RNA Z122. The transcript has a single exon. Lineage: Eukaryota; Viridiplantae; Streptophyta; Magnoliopsida; Dioscoreales; Dioscoreaceae. The record is from RefSeq and is a predicted model, not a curated record.
UUUGGGGUAUGAUGUGAGAUAUACAACUCAGUCUAGAGGCUUCCUAGAUUAUGGUGGCUUUGCUGAGACAUUUGCACGUCAGGCUGAUCCCAAA